CCUACGGGAGGCAGCAGUGGGGAAUAUUGGGCAAUGGAGGCAACUCUGACCCAGCAACGCCGCGUGAAUGAUGAAGGCCUUCGGGUUGUAAAGUUCUUUUCAAAGGGAAGAAGAAAGUGACGGUACUUUCGGAUUAAGCCUCGGCUAACUAUGUGCCAGCAGCCGCGGUAAUACGUAGGAGGCAAGCGUUAUCCGGAUUGACUGGGUGUAAGGGGGGCGUAGGUGGUUUGACAAGUUAGUUGCGAAACUCCGGGGCUCAACUCCGGAACUGCAACUGAAACUGUUGGACUUGAGUACAGGAGAGGCAGACGGAAUUCCUGGUGUAGCGGUGAAAUGCGUAGAUAUUAGGAGGAACACCAGUGGCGAAGGCGGAUUGCUAGACUGUAACUGACACUGAGGCACGAAAGCGUGGGGAGCAAACAGGAUUAGAUACCCCGGUAGUC
Molecule: ribosomal RNA, 443 nt
Filed under: uncultured bacterium
Lineage: Bacteria
Description: partial 16S ribosomal RNA
Rfam family: Bacterial small subunit ribosomal RNA
Source: RNAcentral